Molecule: ribosomal RNA, 1533 nt
Filed under: metagenome
Description: bacterial LSU rRNA
Rfam family: Bacterial large subunit ribosomal RNA
Source: RNAcentral
UCCCGUGUGAAUCUGCGAGGACCACCUCGUAAGGCUAAAUAUUCCUGGAUGUCCGAUAGCGCAUAGUACCGCGAGGGAAAGGUGAAAAGAACCCCGGGAGGGGAGUGAAAUAGAACGUGAAAUUGCAAGCUUACAAUCAGAAGGAGAACGACUUAGCGUUUGACUUCGUGCCUGUUGAAGAAUGUUCCGGCGACUUAUAGUUAGUGGCAGGUUAAGAUAGAGAUAUCGGAGCCAUAGUGAAAGCGAGCUUGAAUAGAGCGUUAGUCACUAGUUAUAGACCCGAACCCGGUUGAUCUAACCAUGGCCAGGAUGAAACUUNGGUAACACUAAGUGGAGGUCCGAACCGACUUAUGUUGAAAAAUGAGCGGAUGAGUUGUGGUUAGGGGUGAAAUGCCAAUCGAAANCGGAGCUAGCUGGUUCUCCCCGAAAUGUAUUUAGGUGCAGCGGUUNNUGUUAUAGCGUAGGGGUAAAGCACUGUUUCGGUGCGGGCUGGUAAUUCGGUACCAAAUCGAGGCAAACUCUGAAUACUACGUGUACAACUAACCAGUAAGACUACGAGGGAUAAGCUUCAUAGUCAAGAGGGAAACAGCCCAGAUCACCAGCUAAGGCCCCNAANUAAUUGCUAAGUGNUAAAGGUNGUGGAAAGGCUUAGACAACCAGGAGGUUUGCUUAGAAGCAGCAAUCCUUUAAAAAGUGCGUAAUAGCUUACUGGUCGAGCAAUCCUGCGCCGAAAAUUUAUGGGACUAAGUAAUUCGCCGAAGCUGUGAGGUAUACAAUAAUGUAUAUCGGUAGGGGAGCGUUCCGUUGUAGGUUGAAGUAUUAGCGAAAGCGGAUAUGGACGAAACGGAAGUGAGAAUGUAGGAUUGAGUAGCGAAAACAUUGGUGAGAAUCCAAUGCUCCGAAANCCUAAGGUUUCCUCCGCAAGGCUCGUCCACGGAGGGUGAGUCAGGUCCUAAGGUGAGGCUGAAAAGCGUAGUUGAUGGACAACAGGUUAAUAUUCCAGUACUGAUUAUUACUGGUAUCGAGGGACGAAGAAGGCUAAACUAGCCGGAUAUUGGUUACCGGUUCAAGUAUUCAAGAUGUUGAUAACUAGAGAAAAUAGUUUGAGUUGAGAUACGAGUACAAGAUUCUAGAAAUCAAAGUAGUUGAUGUCAUACUUCCAAGAAAAGCUCGCAAUGCCAUAAGUAAUAAUCACCUGUACCUUAAACCGACACAGGUAGGGAGGUAGAGAAUACCAAGGAGCGCGGGAGAACCCUCCUUAAGGAACUCGGCAAAAUAACUCUGUAACUUCGGGANAAAGAGUGCCNUUUNGGCUGCAAUAUCAAGUUCCAAGCAACUGUUUAGCAAAAACACAGGUCUCCGCUAAGUUGUAAAACGACGUAUGGGGGCUGACACCUGCCCAGUGCCGGAAGGUUAAAGAAGUCGGUUAGCAUUAGCAAAGCUGGUAACUGAAGCCCCGGUGAACGGCGGCCGUAACUAUAACGGUCCUAAGGUAGCGAAAUUCCUUGUCGGGUAAGUUCCGACCCGCACGAA